Molecule: ribosomal RNA, 1347 nt
Filed under: uncultured bacterium
Lineage: Bacteria
Description: partial 16S ribosomal RNA
Rfam family: Bacterial small subunit ribosomal RNA
Source: RNAcentral
GACGAACGCUGUUGGCGUGCUUAACACAUGCAAGUCGAACGGAAAGGCCCUGCUUUUGUGGGGUGCUCGAGUGGCGAACGGGUGAGUAACACGUGAGUAACCUGCCCUUGACUUUGGGAUAACUUCAGGAAACUGGGGCUAAUACCGGAUAGGAGCUCCUGCUGCAUGGUGGGGGUUGGAAAGUUUCGGCGGUUGGGGAUGGACUCGCGGCUUAUCAGCUUGUUGGUGGGGUAGUGGCUUACCAAGGCUUUGACGGGUAGCCGGCCUGAGAGGGUGACCGGCCACAUUGGGACUGAGAUACGGCCCAGACUCCUACGGGAGGCAGCAGUGGGGAAUAUUGCACAAUGGGCGGAAGCCUGAUGCAGCAACGCCGCGUGCGGGAUGACGGCCUUCGGGUUGUAAACCGCUUUCGCCUGUGACGAAGCGUGAGUGACGGUAAUGGGUAAAGAAGCACCGGCUAACUACGUGCCAGCAGCCGCGGUGAUACGUAGGGUGCGAGCGUUGUCCGGAUUUAUUGGGCGUAAAGGGCUCGUAGGUGGUUGAUCGCGUCGGAAGUGUAAUCUUGGGGCUUAACCCCUGAGCGUGCUUUCGAUACGGGUUGACUUGAGGAAGGUAGGGGAGAAUGGAAUUCCUGGUGGAGCGGUGGAAUGCGCAGAUAUCAGGAGGAACACCAGUGGCGAAGGCGGUUCUCUGGGCCUUUCCUGACGCUGAGGAGCGAAAGCGUGGGGAGCGAACAGGCUUAGAUACCCUGGUAGUCCACGCUGUAAACGGUGGGUACUAGGUGUGGGGUCCAUUCCACGGGUUCCGUGCCGUAGCUAACGCUUUAAGUACCCCGCCUGGGGAGUACGGCCGCAAGGCUAAAACUCAAAGGAAUUGACGGGGUCCCGCACAAGCGGCGGAGCAUGCGGAUUAAUUCGAUGCAACGCGUAGAACCUUACCUGGGUUUGACAUGGAUCGGGAGUGCUCAGAGAUGGGUGUGCCUCUUUUGGGGUCGGUUCACAGGUGGUGCAUGGCUGUCGUCAGCUCGUGUCGUGAGAUGUUGGGUUAAGUCCCGCAACGAGCGCAACCCUUGUUCACUGUUGCCAGCACGUUAUGGUGGGGACUCAGUGGAGACCGCCGGGGUCAACUCGGAGGAAGGUGGGGAUGACGUCAAGUCAUCAUGCCCCUUAUGUCCAGGGCUUCACGCAUGCUACAAUGGCUGGUACAGAGAGUGGCGAGCCUGUGAGGGUGAGCGAAUCUCGGAAAGCCGGUCUCAGUUCGGAUUGGGGUCUGCAACUCGACCUCAUGAAGUCGGAGUCGCUAGUAAUCGCAGAUCAGCAACGCUGCGGUGAAUACGUUCCCGGGGCU